GAUCAUGGCUCAGGAUGAACGCUGGCGGCGUGCUUAACACAUGCAAGUCGAACGGGAAAUACUUUAUUGAAACUUCGGUCGAUUUAAUCUAUUUCUAGUGGCGGACGGGUGAGUAACGCGCGGGUAACCUGCCUUAUACUGGGGGAUAACAGCCAGAAAUGACUGCUAAUACCGCAUAAGCGCACGGGGCCGCAUGGUCCUGUGUGAAAAACUCCGGUGGUAUAAGAUGGACCCGCGUUGGAUUAGCUAGUUGG
Molecule: ribosomal RNA, 254 nt
Filed under: uncultured bacterium
Lineage: Bacteria
Description: partial 16S ribosomal RNA
Rfam family: Bacterial small subunit ribosomal RNA
Source: RNAcentral